GCCGGUGUGGCGCGACCCAGAAAGGCACCGAGCUCGUACCUCGGUUCAUGCGGGUGCGAAUCCCGCCGCCGGCUC
Molecule: transfer RNA, 75 nt
Filed under: Gemmata sp. SH-PL17
Lineage: Bacteria; Pseudomonadati; Planctomycetota; Planctomycetia; Gemmatales; Gemmataceae
Description: tRNA-Thr
Rfam family: tRNA
About the family: Transfer RNA (tRNA) molecules are approximately 80 nucleotides in length. Their secondary structure includes four short double-helical elements and three loops (D, anti-codon, and T loops). Further hydrogen bonds mediate the characteristic L-shaped molecular structure. tRNAs have two regions of fundamental functional importance: the anti-codon, which is responsible for specific mRNA codon recognition, and the 3' end, to which the tRNAs corresponding amino acid is attached (by aminoacyl-tRNA synthetases). tRNAs cope with the degeneracy of the genetic code in two manners: having more than one tRNA (with a specific anti-codon) for a particular amino acid; and 'wobble' base-pairing, i.e. permitting non-standard base-pairing at the 3rd anti-codon position.
Source: RNAcentral